GAGGGUAUAGCUCAGUGAUAAAUUGCAUGCUUAGAAUGCAUGAGGUCCUGGGUUCAAUCCUCAGUACCUCCA
RNAcentral lists this transfer RNA (72 nucleotides) under Camelus bactrianus (Bactrian camel). It matches the Rfam family "tRNA". Rfam says of the family: Transfer RNA (tRNA) molecules are approximately 80 nucleotides in length. Their secondary structure includes four short double-helical elements and three loops (D, anti-codon, and T loops). Lineage: Eukaryota; Metazoa; Chordata; Mammalia; Artiodactyla; Camelidae. The record is from Rfam by way of RNAcentral. RNAcentral also lists the same sequence under 1 other name.